This 468-nucleotide ribosomal RNA is filed under the name uncultured bacterium. Its description in RNAcentral is "partial 16S ribosomal RNA". It matches the Rfam family "Bacterial small subunit ribosomal RNA", at positions 28 to 507 of the family's 1533-position model. The record is from RNAcentral.
GACGAACGCUGGCGGCGUGCUUAACACAUGCAAGUCGAACGGAAAGGCCCUGCUUUUGUGGGGUGCUCGAGUGGCGAACGGGUGAGUAACACGUGAGUAACCUGCCCUUGACUUUGGGAUAACUUCAGGAAACUGGGGCUAAUACCGGAUAGGAGCUCCUGCUGCAUGGUGGGGGUUGGAAAGUUUCGGCGGUUGGGGAUGGACUCGCGGCUUAUCAGCUUGUUGGUGGGGUAGUGGCUUACCAAGGCUUUGACGGGUAGCCGGCCUGAGAGGGUGACCGGCCACAUUGGGACUGAGAUACGGCCCAGACUCCUACGGGAGGCAGCAGUGGGGAAUAUUGCACAAUGGGCGGAAGCCUGAUGCAGCAACGCCGCGUGCGUGAUGACGGCCUUCGGGUUGUAAACCGCUUUCGCCUGUGACGAAGCGUGGGUGACGGUAAUGGGUAAAGAAGCACCGGCUAACUACGUG